GUGCGCGUCGCCGACAUCGGGGUAACGCCCCGGAGUCUCAGCACGAGUUUCAGAGGCGGGACCAUGGCCACGGUGGGGCGGUGAAUAUAAUGAACAGCAGGUGCUGAUUUACAAAAUAUAAUAUAGACCGUUGUGGUUGAACAUCGACACAAAACGCUGGAGUAACUCAGCGGGUCGGGCAGCAUCUCUGCAGAAAAGAAAGACAGAAUACAAAAGAAAAAGAUGGCAUUUUAAAGAACUUCCGCAUUAAUUUGAACAGUUAAAUCAUUACUAUGAGACUGAAAGAUCAACCUCACAAAGCAUAUCUUCUGAAACAAAGUAGUCUGCUAUUUUUGUUUGAAAUAUUAACGUGUACAUUUAACCAGAAAGGAAACAAUAUAUCAUCACACUGAGAUCAAUUUCACAAAGAACACUUUUGAAACAAAGUAGUAUGUGCUAUUUUUUAUUUGAAAUAUUAAAAUAUUAACUUGUGGGCUUCUUAUCAGAAAGCCAACAAAAAGGAAAAUGUGAAUUCGUGUUUAAAGCUGUAUUUUUUUAAAAUUUUACGGCAGGGAUGUAUACGCCUUUAUUGUGUUUAAUUCAGAUCAAGUAAAUGCCAAAUUUUGUAACUGCAAUGUAGUUUGCUAGAAAAUGUCUAUUUUGUCAAUCUGACAUCCUGUUCCUUUGGUUUUCUAUGUGGCAAUGUUGUUGACCUUGGCGAAAUUAUCUCUGUGAUUAAAUAAAUAAUACACUUGUUGAAUCCAA
Amblyraja radiata (thorny skate) is the source of this 744-nucleotide long non-coding RNA. RefSeq lists it as uncharacterized. Lineage: Eukaryota; Metazoa; Chordata; Chondrichthyes; Rajiformes; Rajidae. The record is from RefSeq and is a predicted model, not a curated record. The transcript has 2 exons.